This 512-nucleotide ribosomal RNA is filed under the name uncultured bacterium. RNAcentral describes it as "bacterial SSU rRNA". It matches the Rfam family "Bacterial small subunit ribosomal RNA", at positions 501 to 1014 of the family's 1533-position model. The record is from RNAcentral.
CUACGUGCCAGCAGCCGCGGUAAUACGGAGGGUGCGAGCGUUAAUCGGAAUAACUGGGCGUAAAGGGCACGCAGGCGGCUAUUUAAGUGAGGUGUGAAAUCCCCGGGCUUAACCUGGGAAUUGCAUUUCAGACUGGGUAGCUAGAGUACUUUAGGGAGGGGUAGAAUUCCACGUGUAGCGGUGAAAUGCGUAGAGAUGUGGAGGAAUACCGAAGGCGAAGGCAGCCCCUUGGGAAUGUACUGACGCUCAUGUGCGAAAGCGUGGGGAGCAAACAGGAUUAGAUACCCUGGUAGUCCACGCUGUAAACGCUGUCGAUUUGGGGAUUGGGCCUUGAGCUUGGUGCCCGAAGCUAACGUGAUAAAUCGACCGCCUGGGGAGUACGGCCGCAAGGUUAAAACUCAAAUGAAUUGACGGGGGCCCGCACAAGCGGUGGAGCAUGUGGUUUAAUUCGAUGCAACGCGAAGAACCUUACCUACUCCUGACAUCCAUGGAAUCUUGUAGAGAUAUGAGAG